GACGAACGCUGGCGGCGUGCUUAACACAUGCAAGUCGAACGGAAAGGCCCCGUUGGGGGUGCUCGCGCGGCGGACGAGUGAGUAACACGUGAGUAAGCUGCCCUUGCCUUCGGGAUAACUUCAGGAAACUGGGGCUGAUACAGGACAGGAAUCCUUGCUGCAUGGUGGGGGGUGGAAAGCUUGGGCGGUUUGGGAAGGACGCGCGGCUUACUUGCUUGUUGGUGGGGUAGUGGCUUACCCAGGCUUUGACGGGUAGGCGGCCCGGGGGGGCGACCGGCCACAUUGGGACUGGAGAACGGCCCAGACUCCUUCGGGGGGCAGCAGUGGGGAAUAUUGGCCAAGUGGCGGAAGCCUGAUGCAGCCACGCCGCGUGCGGGAUGACGGCCUUCGGGUUGUAAACCGCUUUCCGCAGGGGCGAAGCUUGUGGUGACGGUACCUGCAGAAGAAGCACCGGCUAACUACGUG
RNAcentral lists this ribosomal RNA (465 nucleotides) under uncultured bacterium. Its description in RNAcentral is "partial 16S ribosomal RNA". It matches the Rfam family "Bacterial small subunit ribosomal RNA", at positions 28 to 507 of the family's 1533-position model. The record is from RNAcentral.